CAGGGAGACAACAAAAUGUUUAAUAUUAUUAUUUUGUCACCUUAGGUCGAUCGGUAUCUCACGUUUUUAAUUUAUUAAGAAUUUCAUUUCCUAAGUUUUUCUAGGUCACACCCAUUAUUUUCCUGGGCCAUUAGCUCAGGUGGUUAGAGCGCACCCCUGAUAAGGGUGAGGUCCCUGGUUCAAGUCCAGGAUGGCCCAUAUCUCUAUGUUGGGGGUAUAGCUCAGUUGGUAGAGCGCCUGCUUUGCAAGCAGGAUGUCAGCGGUUCGAGUCCGCUUACCUCCACUGAUUACCACCUCUUCCAUAAUCUGUAGAAAGGAAAAUUUUUUGAGUUGUGAUCAUUAUUCUGAACGAAUCUAGCUUCCUAAUGAAAUUAUUAAGAUGCUGGACUCAUUGAAUUAAUUUCAUUGUUUUCAGAGAACCUUGACAACUGCAUAGAUUAUUUUAAAGACAAUAAGCAUCUUUAAUGAUGCAGAUUUAUUAUUUUUGCAAAUGCAUUAAUAACAAUUCUAUUAAGCUGAUGCUUCAAUUAUGAAGUUAUU
RNAcentral lists this transfer RNA (540 nucleotides) under uncultured Prochlorococcus sp. RNAcentral describes it as "partial 16S-23S ribosomal RNA intergenic spacer". The stretch from base 211 to 283 matches the Rfam family "tRNA". Lineage: Bacteria; Bacillati; Cyanobacteriota; Cyanophyceae; Synechococcales; Prochlorococcaceae. The record is from RNAcentral.